GGAGGUGGUAGCUCAUUGGUUAAGACGUCGGGCUACUGAUCAGAAGGUUGUGAGUUCAAAUCCCAGCACUGCCA
Ameiurus melas (black bullhead) is the source of this 74-nucleotide non-coding RNA. The record is from the annotation of a GenBank genome assembly. NCBI's taxonomy places the organism in Eukaryota, Metazoa, Chordata, Actinopteri, Siluriformes, Ictaluridae.